Gasterosteus aculeatus aculeatus (three-spined stickleback) is the source of this 1220-nucleotide long non-coding RNA. Lineage: Eukaryota; Metazoa; Chordata; Actinopteri; Perciformes; Gasterosteidae. The record is from Ensembl.
CACUCAUUCAUGACGAGUGAAAGCAUCCAAAGGAGAAAAGAGCCGCCUCUCGCCUCCAUUCAGCGGCCCAGGCCCCUAAUCUCCGCUGGGACGGCCCAUAAUGAGGAAGGAAGGGCCGACACUCACAUCAAGCACCGGCCUCUGUAAUGAAGGCACCGUGACAAUAGAAAACAUUUCACAGUGUAACGCGGACGGCCUCGUCUGCUGGAAACUUAAAAAAAACAAAAAAAAAACACUUCAAAUACUUUGCGUUUUAUAAAGCGCAUUCCUUUCUCCACAGAGCAGUAAUCACUGUGUCGCUAUAAUCACCAGUGUGGCAGAUCUACCGUUUUGAAUUGCUGAGCAUCAUCCUUUACACACAAUCUCUACUAUUUAAAACGUAGAAAUAUGAUCGUCGUCCACGCACCCGGUGGCCACGUACAAGAGGAGAAGAUGCCGGACUUGAGAUGAGACGUCUCGCUAAAAGCAACGAGAAGGACACAUUUUCAGCCCGGCCUCGGGAGAUUCAACCGCUAUGCGCCGCACAAAAAAAAAAAAAAAAAACGGCUAAAUUUGGAUCUGGGUCUGUGACCCUGUUUAACAAAAAGCUUUCAGAGACGCCCUUCACUUCACUCCGAGCUUCUCUGGACCACAGCUGCAAGUCUGCGUCCUGGUGUGAAGGUGCAAACAUGGAGUCCAGCGGGGCUCUGGAUGCUGGUGGCCCUUUGGAAACAACAUUUCAGCAUUAAAUAAGAGCACAACUGCUGAUACAAAGACUUUAUUCCAUGUUUAACCGCUCACAGUUAGCUCUCUUUGGAUAAAUGCGCCACAUUUUUUACCUGCAGGAGAACCAAACGGGACGACUCAUAGAAGAUCUGCUUCUGUCUGGUUAAAUGAAAUACCUUGUCCCGUGUCGGGUUCAAGCCCGUCUUCCCCAGAUAAAUACUCUCGUGACUACGGUGAUCUAAAUGGAGAGCGUCUCAGGUUGCUCUUUCCUAGCAGGGGGAUGAUACGGUUGCACAUUCUCCCUCGAGGAUCGGCCCUGAGAGGACGGACUGGUAUUCAGGAUUCGUGGGUCCCUCCUGUUCAUCUCCUCACCUGCCGACCGGCUCCUCUUUCCUCGGCUCCACGCCAAACACCGCGGACGUCUGAACUUCACGACGCAACUCGGACCCGACGUUUUGCUUCUUCGCUUCAGAAUCAGAAGCAACAAAUUGGUUGUCAGAUUUAAUGUGUCUUUU